CAGUCCCACUGAUGGGUCAUUUGACUGAAAGUCGGCAUUACCAAGUGGAGAUACGAGUUGCAGGCUGGAGCUGACUCUGGAGUUGUUUAUCAUAGCCUCGCCAGCUGCUGACAUGUGCUGACAAUAGACUUCUCAUUAAGCAACAACUUUAUAGAGAAAUCAGGUCCAGGCAAAAAGAAGAUGGAAAGUUGUGGGAGAGCUGUGCAUGGAGCAAAAGGCUUCAAAUCCUGGACAGACCUCAUGGGCAGCUGGCAGGUUUCUGUAGUUCCUGCAGCAGGAGAGGGCAGCCUGGAGGACCUUAACAGCUGCAGAAGGAAGAUGAUGUUGAGUGCAGAUAUUCCAAAACCUGGACAGAAGCUGUGCCCAGUGGGUUUUUGGAGAGUGCCUGGCCUUAUGUGCAUUUGGACCUAAACAAGGCUUCUUAUCAGAGUCUGGUAGCUUAAGCAGAGAACAAAG
Molecule: long non-coding RNA, 456 nt
Filed under: Anser cygnoides (Swan goose)
Lineage: Eukaryota; Metazoa; Chordata; Aves; Anseriformes; Anatidae
Description: lncRNA (ENSACDG00005006271.1)
Source: RNAcentral